This 669-nucleotide transfer RNA is filed under the name uncultured cyanobacterium. RNAcentral describes it as "partial miscellaneous RNA". The stretch from base 256 to 328 matches the Rfam family "tRNA". The record is from RNAcentral. Lineage: Bacteria; Bacillati; Cyanobacteriota.
CAGGGAGACAAAACUGAUUUCGAUGUCUGAUUUCUAUUUCAGGCCAUAAUCCUGUCACCUUAGGUCGAUCGGUACCUCAGAUUAAUAACUCUAAAAGUUGAGAAAUCACUUUAAUUGGUAAUUAAUUUUAGUUCCUAAACUUGUCUAGGUCACACCCAACAGACUUUCUCCUGGGCUAUUAGCUCAGGCGGUUAGAGCGCACCCCUGAUAAGGGUGAGGUCCCUGGUUCAAGUCCAGGAUGGCCCAUUCGUUGUUGGGGGUAUAGCUCAGUUGGUAGAGCGCCUGCUUUGCAAGCAGGAUGUCAGCGGUUCGAGUCCGCUUACCUCCACUGAUCAACUGCCUGAUAACUCAAUUUGGAGAUUGUUAUUUGUUAAAUGUGACUUAGAGUUGUUCGCUUGAAUGAACCUAGCUUCCUAUCAUUCCUUAAAUUAUUUGAGGCUGAUAAGACGCUGGGCUCACUGAUUUUCUUUAUAAAAUCAGUUUGAUUCAGCAGAACCUUGACAACUGCAUAGGAAAGUCUGGAAAAAAUAAAGCAUCUCAUAGAUGCAUGGAAUUUUAUUUUUAGUUUUACUUAAAGUAGAUUUCUAUGAUUAAUUCUUGAGUUAGAGCAAAACUUCUAAAACUUAAAUCACUUUCAAUAGGUGAUUAACUUAAAUUUUAGAUUUUAAU